Molecule: transfer RNA, 99 nt
Filed under: Armillaria luteobubalina
Lineage: Eukaryota; Fungi; Basidiomycota; Agaricomycetes; Agaricales; Physalacriaceae
Description: tRNA-Val
Source: RNAcentral
GGGUCGAUGGCGUAGCUGGUUAUCGCAUCUGUCUAACAUAGGAUAUUCCCACAUUCGUGUCUUCACAGAAGGUCCUCAGUUUGAAUCUGGGUCGACUCA